GGGGAAAUAGCUCAGUGACAGAGCAUUUGCUUGGCAUGCAGAAGGUCUGAGGUUCAAUACCAGGGCAUCUUCA
This is a non-coding RNA of Podarcis lilfordi (Lilford's wall lizard), 73 nucleotides long. The record is from the annotation of a GenBank genome assembly. NCBI's taxonomy places the organism in Eukaryota, Metazoa, Chordata, Lepidosauria, Squamata, Lacertidae.